RNAcentral lists this unclassified non-coding RNA (200 nucleotides) under Cladophialophora sp. RNAcentral describes it as "partial internal transcribed spacer 2". The record is from RNAcentral. Lineage: Eukaryota; Fungi; Ascomycota; Eurotiomycetes; Chaetothyriales; Herpotrichiellaceae.
UUAAGUUCAGCGCGUAUUCCUACCUGAUCCGAGGUCAACCUUAGAAGUUUCCUGGUGAGAGGAGAAGACCGGGUCCCGGGCGCCCUUAAGUCCGAUACGUGCUCCGUGAAAAGCUCAGUGUACCGGGGGAACCACAGGCCGCCGUCAUUGUCUUUCGGAGGGGUCGAUCGCUCGACCGGCCGUCCAACGCCAAGCACGGG